GAUGAACGCUGGCGGCGUGCCUAAUACAUGCAAGUCGAGCGAACAGAUAAGGAGCUUGCUCCUUUGACGUUAGCGGCGGACGGGUGAGUUACACGUGGAUAACCUACCUAUAAGACUGGGAUAACUUCGGGAAACCGGAGCUAAUACCGGAUAACAUAUUGAACCGCAUGGUUCAAUAGUGAAAGGCGGCUUUGCUGUCACUUAUAGAUGGAUCCGCGCCGUAUUAGCUAGUUGGUAAGGUAACGGCUUACCAAGGCAACGAUACGUAGCCGACCUGAGAGGGGGAUCGGCCACACUGGAACUGAGACACGGUCCAGACUCCUACGGGAGGCAGCAGUAGGGAAUCUUCCGCAAUGGGCGAAAGCCUGACGGAGCAACGCCGCGUGAGUGAUGAAGGUCUUCGGAUCGUAAAACUCUGUUAUCAGGGAAGAACAAAUGUGUAAGUAACUGUGCACAUCUUGACGGUACCUGAUCAGAAAGCCACGGCUAACUACGUG
RNAcentral lists this ribosomal RNA (497 nucleotides) under uncultured bacterium. RNAcentral describes it as "partial 16S ribosomal RNA". It matches the Rfam family "Bacterial small subunit ribosomal RNA", at positions 28 to 507 of the family's 1533-position model. The record is from RNAcentral.